CGGAGGGUGCAAGCGUUAUCCGGAUUUACUGGGUUUAAAGGGUGCGUAGGUGGGUCUGUAAGUCAGUGGUGAAAUCUCCGGGCUUAACUCGGAAACUGCCAUUGAUACUAUAGGCCUUGAAUUAUCUGGAGGUGAGCGGAAUAUGUCAUGUAGCGGUGAAAUGCUUAGAUAUGACAUAGAACACCAAUUGCGAAGGCAGCUCACUACGGAUAUAUUGACACUGAGGCACGAAAGCGUGGGGAUCAAACAGGAUUAGAUACCCUGGUAGUCCACGCCCUAAACGAUGGAUACUCGACAUACGCGAUACACUGUGUGUGUCUGAGCGAAAGCAUUAAGUACUCCCACCUGGGAAGUACGAUCGACAAGAUUG
Molecule: ribosomal RNA, 370 nt
Filed under: uncultured organism
Description: bacterial SSU rRNA
Rfam family: Bacterial small subunit ribosomal RNA
Source: RNAcentral